UGCCCAGACUCCUACGGGAGGCAGCAGUGGGGGAUAUUGCACAAUGGGGGAAACCCUGAUGCAGCGACGCCGCGUGGGUGAAGGAGCACUUCGGUGCGUAAAGCCCUAUCGGCAGGGAAGAAAAGGGGGAAAACCCAGACGGUACCUGACUAAGAAGCCCCGGCUAACUACGAGCCAGCAGCCGCGGCAAUAAGUAGGGGGCAAGCGCUAUCCGGAUUUACUGGGUGUAAAGGGAGCGCAGACGGCAGUGCAAGUCUGGAGUGAAAGCCCGGGGCCCAACCCCGGGACUGCUCUGGAAACUGUAUAGCUGGAGUGCAGGAGAGGUAAGUGGAAUUCCUAGUGUAGCGGUGAAAUGCGUAGAUAUUAGGAGGAACCCCAGUGGCGAAGGCGGCUUACUGGACUGUAACUGACGUUGAGGCUCGAAAGCGUGGGGAGCAAACAGGAUUAGAUACCCCGGUAU
RNAcentral lists this ribosomal RNA (460 nucleotides) under uncultured bacterium. Its description in RNAcentral is "bacterial SSU rRNA". It matches the Rfam family "Bacterial small subunit ribosomal RNA", at positions 328 to 793 of the family's 1533-position model. The record is from RNAcentral.